CCUACGGGAGGCUGCAGUGGGGAAUAUUGCACAAUGGGCGAAAGCCUGAUGCAGCAACGCCGCGUGAAGGAAGACGGUCUUCGGAUCGUAAACUUCUAUCAAUAGGGAAGAACGAACUGACGGUACCUAAACAAGAAGCUCCGGCUAACUACGUGCCAGCAGCCGCGGUAAUACGUAGGGGGCAAGCGUUAUCCGGAAUUACUGGGGGUAAAGGGAGAGUAGGCGGCAAGGUAAGCGAUGUGUGAAAGCCUUAGGCUUAACGAAAGGAUUGCAUACCGAACUAUCUAGCUAGAGUUCAGGAGAGGAUAGCGGAAUUCCAAGUGUAGGGGUGAAAUGCGUAGAUAUUAGGAAGAACACCAGUGGCGAAGGCGACUUUCUGGACUAAAACUGACGCUGAGGCGCGAAAGCGUGGGGAGCGAACAGGAUUAGAUACCCGAGUAGUC
This 443-nucleotide ribosomal RNA is filed under the name uncultured bacterium. Its description in RNAcentral is "partial 16S ribosomal RNA". It matches the Rfam family "Bacterial small subunit ribosomal RNA", at positions 338 to 795 of the family's 1533-position model. The record is from RNAcentral.